CCUUUUGAGCUCGGUCUCGUGGGUUUUGAAGAGUUUCAAAGCCUUCGGAUUCGCGGGAUUGAGAUCUCUUGGCGUACUUUUUCGUACGGUUAGUCAACAUCGGUUUUGAAUGUCAUAAAAUGACUGGAGGAAUGUAGCUUCGAUCUCGUAUUGAAGUGUUAUAGCCUUUGGUAGAUGUGAUGUUUGAGACCGAGGAUUGCAACGGAUACCCUU
RNAcentral lists this ribosomal RNA (213 nucleotides) under Glomus sp. j5-caled. RNAcentral describes it as "partial 28S ribosomal RNA". Lineage: Eukaryota; Fungi; Glomeromycota; Glomeromycetes; Glomerales; Glomeraceae. The record is from RNAcentral.